UACGUAGGGUGCAAGCGUUGUCCGGAAUUAUUGGGCGUAAAGAGCUCGUAGGCGGUCUGUCGCGUCGGAUGUGAAAAUCCAGGGCUCAACCCUGGACCUGCAUUCGAUACGGGCAGACUAGAGUUCGGCAGGGGAGACUGGAAUUCCUGGUGUAGCGGUGAAAUGCGCAGAUAUCAGGAGGAACACCGGUGGCGAAGGCGGGUCUCUGGGCCGAUACUGACGCUGAGGAGCGAAAGUGUGGGGAGCGAACAGG
RNAcentral lists this ribosomal RNA (253 nucleotides) under uncultured bacterium. RNAcentral describes it as "partial 16S ribosomal RNA". It matches the Rfam family "Bacterial small subunit ribosomal RNA", at positions 524 to 776 of the family's 1533-position model. The record is from RNAcentral.